Molecule: ribosomal RNA, 253 nt
Filed under: uncultured bacterium
Lineage: Bacteria
Description: partial 16S ribosomal RNA
Rfam family: Bacterial small subunit ribosomal RNA
Source: RNAcentral
UACGGAGGGUGCGAGCGUUAAUCGGAAUUACUGGGCGUAAAGAGCGUGUAGGCGGUUUGGUAGGUCCGUUGUGAAAACUCGAGGCUCAACCUCGAGACGCCGGCGGAAACCAUCAGGCUAGAGUCCGGAAGAGGAGAGUGGAAUUCCUGGUGUAGCGGUGAAAUGCGCAGAUAUCAGGAAGAACACCCGUGGCUAAGGCGGCUCUCUAGUACGGUACUGACGCUGAGACGCGAAAGCGUGGGGAGCGAACAGG